UGCCUCAAAGAGUUACCAAAACAGUAACUGUGGAAGCGCAGACGGUGUGUAAGAGGCUCCAAACAAGGCCCCAGGCGGCCCGACUGAUGAGCUCUAGGUAAAUAAAUGUUCACUGCCCCAGCUGGUUCUCUCUGACCAGGAGACCCGCUUUUGAAGAACCUUCUGGAAUGCUGUAUUUAAGGGGAAGUCCUUUCAGUUGGUAUGAAGUCUCUACAGCCCUCAGCCUGUGUGGAAAACACCUUUGUUAAAUCCAGGUCUCAGUUGCUCUCCCCCUGGAGCAACACCGCCUCUCCUGACAACAGGCGACACACUUUGAGGUCUGUGACCCUAAGCAUUGCAGGCUUUGGGGCCACGAGUGUACACUGGUUUUUCUUUGUGUGUCCAGCAGUCGCACGUACCAGUCCCUGGACGAGAUGUACCCGGCCUACAGAUGUCAGGCCUGAAAGAAAGUGUCCAAUCCGUGGUUUUCCGCAUCAAGCCUCCUAAUCACAGACCCUCACGAAGAGCGACGUGUGGAGCUGGAAUGUCUUCCGCGCAGGAGACGACGCUGGCCUUGCAGAAAAGCGAGGCUGAAAAGCUUGGGGCACCUUUGAGAUCGUCCACAGCCCCCAGCUUGGGAGCCCUUUCCAAGACUGAGCAUCCGCGAGCGCCCUGCGCGAGGCUGCGCCAGCGAGCUCGUCGUGGCCGGACAGCUUCCGUCUCCUCACACGUUCGCUUCAACUGCCGGGAAGUUCCUUGCUCCGCUGUCGCGUCAGGACCGGGUCUCGGGGGCGACGCGUGACUGCGCAGCACGGUGACACGGUCACCCAGGGCUGAAGGGCUCGUUGAGAAAGAGAUCGAUUUUGGCCAACGCGCGGCAGUUGAUACGGAUGCAUGGUUUACGCCGAACGAGAAUAUGAUCUUAGUUGUUUGUAAGGAAUUCUGGCAUCAUGAUAGCAUUUCUGAAGAAAGUCGCAAGACUGAACAUCAAAGAUGAGCCCAUAGUACCCUGUAUGGUUUGGAGACUACCUGUGUCUUCAACCCCAUCUAUUAGGUACAAGGCACUUAAUCUGGGUAGUGGAAUUCAAUAGUAAGCAAGAACAAACAAAGUCUAACCUCAAGAAGAGCUAUGUAUGAAGUAAAUAAUCACAUAAAUAAAAGUUAUAACAGUGACUGUGAUUGCAUCCAAGAAAAUCCACUCUGUAUGGAUCUCAAUAAAUACCAUCAGAUCUCCUCCCAAAUGAAACCAUGCCUCUCAUCCUAUACCAGAGAGCAAAGACCUGGGGGUGAGGGAAGGAUAUCAGAAAGCUCACCUUAAGACAGAAGCAAAAAAUGAGAAGUAAACCAGACAGAGAGACAAGUACUACAUGAUUUCACUUAUACAAGCCUACCUCUUUGCUGUAAUUAUCAUGUAUCUGUUGGCUUACUUCAUUGGUGAGAUGAUGGCCAAGCCUUCCAGCACUCCACCUUCACCAAGAUCUUUCAGCUUCUCCAACUUCAGGCCAACUUGAGCUUUAUCUCCUUCAAUGGUCAAGAGAAUGCGGGCUAAGCCUUGGAGCCAAGGAGAGCAACAAUGGAGCAGAGACCAUAGAGGAAGUUGUAGGGUGUGUUUGGCAUCCCCCGUGAUGGUAGUGACUUCCCAGAUGUUCUACACCCACAGAUGCAUGAUAUCCUACGAUUGGAAUGAAGAAGAGGUGUAUCCAACAGGGCCCAUGGGAGCCAUUCUCAAAAGAGAAGUGGUAAGAAUGAACUCAGGGAAUCACCAGUGCUAUGAAGCAGAGGAGAUGCCAAGAUAGUGCUGUAUUCUACCCAG
Long non-coding RNA from Hyaena hyaena (striped hyena), 1792 nucleotides. RefSeq lists it as uncharacterized. The record is from RefSeq and is a predicted model, not a curated record. NCBI's taxonomy places the organism in Eukaryota, Metazoa, Chordata, Mammalia, Carnivora, Hyaenidae. The transcript is spliced from 7 exons.